UUACGGGCUUACCAACAAACCUUACAACAAGAAUAAAGAACAAGGAACUAAAGCUCCUAAAUGAGCAAAUAAAACAAUUAUGAGCUACAAAGAAGAGUUUAGAAUAUAAUUAUCCCUUUAAUAAGGCUCUUCUCUUCUUUGUCAAGAUUGCUUCACUCUUCAAGGAUUGGUGGAGCUCUUAAUGUCUCUUGGAAUCUGCUCAACCACUUUCUUUUGGCUCUUUGAAUGAAGCAAUUGAAUGAAGCUUGCCUUGCUAGAGUUUUCUCUUGAAU
RNAcentral lists this long non-coding RNA (272 nucleotides) under Phoenix dactylifera (date palm). RNAcentral describes it as "long non-coding RNA (PDAC_LNC011689)". Lineage: Eukaryota; Viridiplantae; Streptophyta; Magnoliopsida; Arecales; Arecaceae. The record is from RNAcentral.